AAGGAAUAAAAUGUAAAAGAAUUUUGGGCAAUAAGCAAAGUGAAUUAAGGUGAAGAAGUUCAAGGUAGGUACCAAAUAUUGUUGGAGAAAAAGAGGAAGCAAUGUCAUGUUGAUGUAGUAAGUGUUAUUAUUAAUCAAUUAGUAAUAUUUAUAGUAAUAAUAAUACCAACUCCGAUCUUAAAUAUAAGAAAAUUUUAGAUCAAUAAAAAUUGAUGUAUCUGGUUUAAAUUUUGAAUCAGAUAUAUCAGUUUUUGUUACUCAAUUUUUUUCUUAUAUUUAGAAUCAGAGAGAAUAUUAUUAUGCAAAAAAGUAAAAGUGAGUAUAUGAUUUGUCUUGAAAAGUGUAAGUUUAUGUUAUGGGAAAAUGUAUUUGCUUAUUUCAUUGCAUUUUUUGUUUAUAUUUGUUUGUACUAUACCAAAUGAGCAAUAAAAUACAAAGGAGAAAGACAAGGUAUGCUGCUCCUUUGUCAUGUGAUCAUGUCUCCAUUAGUUUGUGUGUUGAAUUAUUUAUUUGUACACUUGGGAGAAUAAUUGGAUAUUUACAUUUCUAACUUAUAAUUAUUAUUAUUUUUGACAAUUAUAAUUAUAACAUAUAUAUUAUAUAACAUGACUAUGACAUGAUCAAAUCAUGUGUCACAUAUGUGGCAUGGUGGGAUGAUUAAAGGGAAGUCUUUAACCCUUUAAUUACGUAAUUUAGAUAUUUGGAAUUGUUACAUAAUUGAUCAACUUGUGUGUUUUGGAAUAAUGAUUUUUGGAUGCCAAUUGGCCACUAGUCUAAUACAUACCGUGUAAAAAUGUACCAUAAAGAAGAUAUUUUGUAUUUUUUAAAAUUUAUAUUGAGAAGUUGUCGAUAAAAAAUAAGUAUUUGUAUAAAAUUAAUUAAAUGAAUGGCAAAGAGAUUUUGUUGAAAAGCUCUUUUGCACCAAAGAAUGGAAACAAGAAAAAGACACAUCGUAGAAAAAGAAGGAAACAAAGUUAUGUCACUUUCAUACAUGGCCCAAAAUAGUAUAGGUGUCAUUUCUCCAUAAGCUGUGAUUAAGAUGUAAUAAUCGCGUUUGACCUCUUCUUUGAUGGCUUUGUUCCAACUCUCAACAGUGUGUGACCGUGAGUUUUUUUUUUCUUUCUUCAAGAUAUUAGCAUUUUUUAUUUUAAUAAUAAAAUAUUAGAGUUGAUCUUUACAAGAUACUAAGAAUAAUCACUAUUGCCGACAUGUUGCAGCAUUUUUUUCGACAAGUACAAAAAUAUCUUAAAGAAUAAUUCCGCAGUUUUAGAACAAUAAAAAAAUUAAUAUUUUUUGGGUACAUAUAAAAAAAUUAUUUUAAAAUUAACGUAUUUUACUUUUAAAUGUAGAUUUUAAUUUAUAGAUCUUGCUGCUAAUAUGUAUUUUAAAGGCACAUGUUAAAUAACCUAAUAGUAAAAUUAAUACAUUAAGAAAUACAACAUUUAGCUUUUGAAAAGUUAAAUGCAUAUUUUUUGCUUAUAGCAAUAUGAUGUCUUCUAUAUCUUUAGAUGUAAUAUUUAAGAUGAUUAGUUUUGUCAUUCAAAAAGAGUUAACGGCAUGAUUUAUUGUCCAUUUAUCUUUCAUUCAAGUAUAAUUAUCUUACAUAUAUAUGUAUAUAAUUAAAAUAAAAAAUAAAAAAUUAUAUUAAAUUAUUUAUUAUGUUCCCUUAGGACUAAGGGCAUAUGUUACCAUCCGCCAUAAUUUAUUUAUUUUUCAGAUGUGUUUUAUGUGCACUAUUAUCAAAAUAUUUUAUUUUGCAUUUAUCUUUUUUGAAACAUGUUUUAUUUUAUAUUUAUGAUAGGGAAAAGUACAUCGAUAAUUAAUAAAAUUAUUUUGUAUCAUAUUUUGACGGACAAGAUCAAGCUUUUCUCUUUUAGGUGGUUGAAGUCGACGAGUAUUACGUUAGCUUCUAACUAUCAUAGCUGGUGGUCUAGUCCUAUGCUUUGUUUGGGCUUUGUAUGAUUUGUUUAUGAUUUUGUUCCUCUGAUUCUUUGUAAACUUUUGUAGUCUAUCUCGGUACGUCUUGUGCUGGGGAGGCUGUUGUGGUAAUAUAUAUCUCAUUUUAGCUUGUUAAAAAAAAUUGUACUUUUUUUUUAGAAAAAAUUAUUUUGUAAAUUUUUUAUGACUUAUGAGAAUGUCAUCAAUUUUCUUAAUGUGUGACAAAAAUCUUGAAAGACAAUUGAUUUAAAUUUAAAGAGGAGAUUAAUUCAAUUGAUAGAAACAUCAUAUUAUAUAUAUAAGAGUUGAAGUUCGAAACUUUUAUUUAAUAAAAAAUAGAAAUAUACACAUUUUUAAUCAUACAGUCUAGCUACAUCAAAUUGGAAAUAGUUUUUCUUUUAAAAAUUAAUUGGAAGAAAUAUUUCAGAAUCUCGUAAUCUUCAUAUCUGGAUCCAAUCAAAGUUGUUGCAGAUUCACGUGUGUUGUAAAUUACCUUGAAAACGAGGAAGACACAAAAAAGUUACUGGUUUGGCGCCUCGGGCGGAAGUAAUGGCGCCUCAGGCGGAAAUUUCUGCAUAACAGGUAUGACUUUCUGUUUUGGCGCCCCAGGCGGAAAUUUCUGCGCCCCAGGCGGAAAAACACGCAGUUAUAUAUAUGUGUCAUGUUUUCUGUUAUUUGCAAGGUGUUUUUAGGGUUUCUAAAGCCAACAAAAGACUAGGGUUUGAAAGAGAACUUUUCUUGGGGAAACACUAGGGUUGGGAUUGAUUCAUCACCUUGGAAAACACUUUCACAUUGAAUCUCUUGGUCACGGGGAGAGAUUCAGGAAAAGAGUAGAAUUUAGGAAAACUCUAAAUUCUUGCAACUCUUGUAUUGAAUCUUUGUAAUCAAGCUUUACUUUCUGUUUUGGCGCCCCGGGCGGAAAAACAGACAGUAAUAUAUAUGUGUCACAUUUUCUGUUAUUUGCAAGGUGUUUUUAGGGUUUAUAAAGCCAACAAAAGACUAGGGUUUGAAAGAGAACUUCUCUUGGGGAAACAUUAGGGUUGGGAUUGAUCCAUCACAUUGGGAAACACUUUCACAUUGAAUCUCUUGGUAAUGGGGAGAAAUUCGGGAAAAGGGUAGAAUUUAGGAAAACUCUAAAUUCUUGCAACUUUUGUAUUGAAUCUUUGUAAUCAAGCUUUCCAUUGAUAGUGGAACGGAUAGUGGCUCUCUCCCCCAGAGUAGGUUGUUAUAACUGAACUAGGUAAACAAUUUAUUCGUGUCUUUUAUUGCUUUUGGUAGUUCUAGCUUUUGUUGAUUUAUUGCUUAUUCUCACUCAUUUUGAUUUAGUUGCUUCAAUUCAUUUGUCCCACACAUCAAAGGUUUUAUUGGUGUGGUUUUCGGUCCGAAUUCACAACAACAUGAAUACGAUAAGAAGUUAUAAACGUGUCACGUACGGUAAGCAAAUACUAUAUACCUUCCAUAUGGACUUGUAUUCUUGGUUGUUGAAAACUGUGCAGUCAGUAAAUUUUAGAUCGUUUGAUGUUGAUCGAACGGUUUAGAUUUCAUCUAAGAAUUUUGUUUUAAACAAAAAUAAAAAAUGAUCUUAAAAUCUAAAUUGUCUUAUUUUAAUAAGACAGCUCAGAACUACCGACUGCAUUCAGUCCAACCGCAUGUAAUCCAAUUCACUUUUUUUAUUGAUAAAAAAAAUACUAUCACAAUUUUUUUUCAGAAAUUAAAAUGAUACUUGCUAACAUGUUACAGUUUAGGUUUUAUGACUCGUGACAACAGUUCGAAAGGUUGACCUAUUCGAAAAUACUCAAAUCUAUGCUUAUUGUCAACUCCCUAGAACAUUUCCUCAUUUAUUACGCUCUUCUUGUCUCUGGGUGCCUAGGUAGCCUUUCCUCGUUUGAACCUCGCUCUUAACUUGAAGCCUAUGCCAACCUAAGGUGCUGUUAGAUGAAAGGAUCUUAUCAGCGUCCAAAAAUGAUAAAUCAUAGCAUAGCUUAAACCAAACUACCGAAUAGGAAAAUUGAGCUAUGAGUGCUAUCAUAUAGUUUUAUAUAUCAUUAAAAUUCACGAGUUGGAGAUAAGCGGACUCAAACCGCUGCCAUCCGUCAUAGGGUAGGUAAAUUACCGCCUCUCAAGCCCCAACGACUUUUAUCUAAUGUGAUUAGUGGCAAGAGAUUAUUUGCUAAACAUUAACUAAUCAGUUGAUUUAUGAUAAAUGCAAAAAUCAAAUUGAGUUAAUAUACAUGGACGACGAUAUGGACCACAUAUGCAUGGUGUGGCUGCGCAGCCAUUUUCAAAGUUAGUUUUAUUUUCUUAUUUUAUAUAUGCUUGCUAGUACACCAGUCAGUUAGUGUGAGAUAUCAUAAAUCUAUAAAUACAUCAUGUACAUACAAGUUUCAUUAAUGAAAAGAUGUGUUUUCCAUUCAUUUUGUUACAGAUAUAUUGUUGCAUAUUUUGUAUUACUUGUGUUGGAAGUAAUUGUCUUUAUCAGUUUAAGUAGAAUUUUUCUUCCAGUUUAUUCAACUUUAGCACCCUCCCUCUCACACUGUUUUCUCCAACAUCUUAUCCCUAUUUUUAAAGUGAGUGACUACACUGCGAUUUUUAAGUAUGCUUGGAUCCGCAGUGAUUUUGAAAGAAUUACGGUGAACUAUGUCGUGAUUUUGAUAAAAGCUACACUUCAAAGCUUCAAAAAAUUAAGGCACCUUGAUUUUGUCAAUCCGAUCUCCUAUUCUCCUACACAAAAAUGCACUUAAAGGAUGAACAUGGCUUCAAAAUAAAUACCAUGCACAUUGUUGUAAAUUCGAUCGUGGGGUAAAAUUCGGCAACAAUAACCAAGUAAUACAAUAAUAAUUAGAACAAGAACACAAAGAUAUUUUUACCCAACAAUAACCUACAUCUAUGGAAGAGAGCAACCUUCCGUUCACCAAAUAAAUAAGUUUUGUUACAUACAGUUCAAUCUUAAUUCUACAUAUCCUUUUUUCGAAUCCCUACAUGUGGCCAAGGGACUCAAUGGUUUAGUGUUUGCAAAGUGGAUUCAACAACCCUUUGCUCAAUUCUAUAAUUAUAUCAAGAGCAAACCCUCAUUGUUCUAUCUCUCAAAUCCUAGCUUUUGUGUUGACGGCAAAUCCUACUUGAAUCUUCUCUCUCUUAUAUUUCGUAUUUCACAUAGUUCUCUCAAGAUAUAAAUAUAAGGCUUAAAAGUUGAAACAAACAAAUCUGUUUAAAAAUAAGAUAAAAUCUCACUCUAUUUUGAAUACAAACAAAAUCUCUAAUAUAUUUUGGUUGAAACAUAUCUAAUUUAAAAACAAACGACACACAAAAUACACUCAAAACUAACUGAUUUUAAGGUAAAGGAAAGUAGAAGCAAUUCUACAAAUUCAUCGAACUCUAAAAUCAAAUGUUACAAAGUAUGCAUUGCAUGGUUACUAAAAUAGGAAAACAGAACACAGUGGAUCCCUUGAUUGCUCAGAUAGUAAUCAGUCAAUCAUAAAAAGAAAAUAAAAUACUACAUGCUAUGACACCUUUGCAACUUCUUCAAAGACAUUAUUUUGUUCUUCACACUAUGUACUUCUUCUUCUACCUCAUCGCCAGGGAAGGACCAUGCGAUCGUUUUGCUCUUUCCCGCAGCUGCACCACCCAAUUCAACCGCCUGUGGCUUAUCGUUCUCAUUGACCUUUUGAACGAUAAUUCUUUCUUGAAAAACCAAUGUUGAAAAUUGAAGUGAAAGGUCUUGUUGUUCUUCAUUGCAUGAUGACUUUCUGAAAGAUCUUGUCAUUGUUGAAACUUAAUUCACAAUAAUUGAGAGGAAGAAAGAUGAACAGAGAGAGUUGAAAACACUUGAGGAAAGAAUAUUGUGAUUGAUUAAAUUGUUGAGAAUUCUUUUGGAGAUCUUAUAUUUAUACUUAGAAAAAUAUUGUUAGGAUAUAAUUAAGAUAUAUAUUAGAAAUUUUAGGAUUUGUUUGUUACUCAAAUAUAUGAUCUAACAUUCUGUUUUUUUUUAAUGCAAAAUAUUCAAAAUAUAUGUAACUUGUUCAGCAAGAUAACUAUUCCUAAGGUUAAAUUUUGACAAAAAUAAUUUAAAAUUUCAAUUGAAAUUAAAAAAUUAAAUAUAAAAAAUGACAACAUGAUUAACUAUUAUAUAUUAAUUAGAUGCCAUAUCUAAUAUAAUUCUAGAGUAGGAAAUUCUAGAUACCAUAUCUAAUCAUACACUCUGCCUUAUAGACAGAGGAGGAGCAAUUGUGCCAUUCACAAAUAAUGAAUUUGAUACUGCAUUAUUGGUUUCAAUCAACUCAUCAUCAGGGCAAAAAACAUGAUUGCUUUGGUGGUUUCUUCUAUUUAUUCCAUUAGUAGUUCUGCUUUCAAUGGCAAGAAAUUGACCAAGAGAUGGAGGAUUGUUUUUCUGGUUAUCAAGUUCAUGAUCUUUGUUCCUUGAACAUAGACAGAAUAAGCAUGAACUGAAAUUGAAGUACUUGUUCUGAUCUUUCUUGGUUUUGAAGAUUUCUGAUUUGGCUUCUCUUAUUGACUUUCUAGAUAGCUCUACACUGCCAUUGACUCCCAUUAGGCUCCCAAGUGUAGUACUCUUGUCAAGGAAAAAUGACCCUGUGGACUGAAUUAAAGACAAAAAUUAGCAACUGUUAAGAAAUUAGGCAACAUAAUCAAAAUACCAGAAUUUAAGAUAGAAAACCUCCAUAGUCCAUAGUAAAAGUCACUUCUAAUGUUAAAUGACAAUUAGAAUUUUUUACAAUAAAUAAACAUCUCUCAAGCACUUCACAACACUUUAAAUAGUUAACAUUGCAGCUGAAUGCAGAUUGUAAUGUGUACUAGACUACUAGGGAUAUGUUUGUAAGAAAUAGAAGUUAGUCACCAAGGUGAACUAAGGCUCUGAUACCACUUGUUGGGGGAGUCAGGAGGAAGCACUAAGAGCAACAACAUGCUAAUGAUCAAGGAUCAUCGGUACACCACAUCUCUAUCUAAAUCCUUAUAUGUUGAGUAUACUUAUAACCCCUCUUAUAUAUCUAUAUCUAACACUAAGUUCAUUCAUAUAUUUGAUGUGAAACUAAUCGGUCACACUUGAAUCCAACAAUAUCUUCCUCAAGUGUGAGUCUCCCUACAUAUUAUUUCCUUCCUCCUGAUUUUUUAGUUGCAUGCAAAUAGUGUCGAUGAACUUUUAUAUCUAAUAAUACCUUUCACAUGUAAAAAUUUAAACUUAACAUGUCUUUAGGCAAGUUUGAAUUAGUAGUACAUAAUGGAAUGAAGUGAAACGAAAUAAAAUAGAUUGGAAUAGAAUAGAAUGAAAUAGAAUAUAACAAAAUUUAAUUUAAAGAGCAAAUACAUGGAGUAGUAUAAUCCAACAUAGUAACCAAAAACUAUUACCCAUAAAUUUUGUUAAUUAAUCUUAGUUUUACUAACCUCUGUGUCUAAAUCAGAUGAAGAAUUUGUAGAAGAAGUAGGAGAACCAGUAAGCAAGGUGUUGAAUGACAUUGAUCCAAAGUUGUCCCCAAUCCUCCUCCCAUUCAAUGGCUGUAAACCCAGUGGCCACCCCUCAUUCUAACAUCAAAUAAUCAAUUAUAUGAAAAAAGUCAUUAAUGCAAAUGAAAAUUCAAGAGGAAAAAUCCAAAAACUAACAUAGAGUAGUCACAAAGAAAAAAGUACCUGUUGAGCCAUACUUUGUUCUUAAAUCUUAAUACUACUAUUUCACUAUAAUUGGCAAGAGGUGUGUAAUUAGAGAAAGAGAAGAAGAAAUAAUGAGGUCAAAAAAGAGUGACAUAACAAGUGAGAAUGGUUAUAAUUUGUGACAGGCAAUAACCAUUAUCUCUGUUUUUAUAUUUACCUCUGUUGACUAUAAUGAAAAACAUAAUCAUUUUGUCGAGGUACUAAUUGGUCAGAGUCUGUUUUGCAUGAGCAGUGUUUAUAAACUUAUUGUAUUUUGAUACAGUGUUUAUAAUACUUUGUCAUUAAUAAUGCAAGCAUUCAAUUUUUGCUUAUAUUUAAGUUUUUUUUUUCACGACCAUUAUUUGGCUCACUGGACUGCCUAAUCUAAUUUGAGGGUUAGUUCUGUCAUCAAGUGGUUUGAGAGUCAGUUCUAGACCGCUAAGAUUUGAGAACAUAUGAAAUAUUACGGUAUUAAAAAAUAUCAAAGGUGUUUUAGCACUUAUGAAUAAUGAACGAUGAGAGUAAGGAUCCUAUGAAAAGUAGUAUUUUGAGGAUGCAAUUCGUUUCAGUAGUGUUAGAAGACAAUCACAAGCAUCUAAAAUAUUGUCCAAAGUCACUUUCUAAAAAGCAUCACUUAUGCUCAAAGCGCGGCAGGUGUUUUAAUAAAACAAUGCUCACUCUUUGCAUAAUUUUGGAUUACAUGCUAAUAUAUCUUAAAUCAUUCAUUAACACUUGGGAGAUAUUCUUUUGGUAAUAUAUUGCUUAUACGACUAACCUUACUAGUUGUUUACCAUAGCUGUUUCUUUUGUCAAUACUCAAUAGACAAAGCAUAAGAGGUGGGACAUAUUGCAAUGUCCCUAGGGUGGUAGUUGUUCUAGUCCAGCAAGACUUUGGGCCAGUGGAUUUUGUUUUCGCUUCAAUCGAGUUUAAUGGACGGUGGAAUUGGUCUUCAGAUUAGUAUGUUUGGACUUGAAAUUUGGAUGAUAGGUUGUACUAUUGGGUUGUUGGUUUAGGAUUGUUGGAGGUUGUAUAUAUUUGUGAAGGAAGGGUGCCCGACGAUCUAAGUCUGUAAACACCGAAAGUGAGAGGUUUAGAUUAGAUAAGAUAUAUCUAGCCUAGCCCAUAUGGCAUGUUUAUAUAGGAGGAAUAGGUAACCUAGAACUUCUCCUAGACACAUGCUCUAAAGACAAGUGUUAAUUGAUUCCUAGGCGGAAAAUCUAGUGGGUCCCAUGAAUGAUAUUCUAUAUAUUUUUUUUUAGGGUGUGUCCAUUAUAUUGUCGGUUCAGCUAAGUGUAAUUUGAAUGAUCCGAUCUAGUUCAUAGAUGGGUCUUGACCCAAGCCGAAACAAAAACAAAUCCUAACAGGAUCACAAAUUAUGAUUCAUAAUGGUAUCUUAAUAAUAUCUCAUUUUAAAUAUAAAUCAUCUAAAUUUACGAGAGAUGUUUAGAUAUAUUAUUCUAAAUAAUUUAGUUUUUUGCAAGGGAUGUAUACAUAACAUAGCCCAAAACGAAAGAAGAAAAAAAAAAUGGGUCCAAAAUGUAGAGAGCAAAAAGAAGUAGUGAGUUCUAAGAAUGGGCCAAACAAAACAAACUAUAAAAAGCAACGGAACAGAGCCACACAGAUCAACAGGACACGCGUGAUGAACAACGUGAAUGUCGUUCAUUGAAUCGGACGUUGUUGAAACAUUGUUCACAACGUUGAUCACUUUCAUUUUAUCAACUGAAAACCCGUCAAAAUUUGAGGUUUCAUUUGACCUACAUUAUUAAAAAACAAAUAUUGCUUUCAAACGUUUGCAACUGAGAUCAUAGAAUCAAUUAUCUCUUUUCAGGUUUUUAACAUUAAUUAUUCUUCUUGUUUGUUCUGUUAAUCCAUUUUGUUUUGUUUUGAUUAGUUUUAAUGAUAAUGUAAUAUUAUGUAUAACAUGUUAUUAUGGUGAUGUAAAUAGAGAUUAGUGUAAUAGAAAUAAUUAGUGAGGUGUAGAAAUAGGUGUUAAAAGAAAUGAUGAGAAAAAAUUCUUUGAAUUGUGCAGCUUUUGGAAGACAAUGGCAGAGGAGGAUAUUCAGCCACUCGUUUGUGAUAAUGGGACAGGAAUGGUUAAGGUAAAAUUUUCAGCUUAUGAAAAUGUAAAUAAAUAAGUUUUAUGUUAAUUUAUAUUUUUUCAUAAACUACCUUGACAAACUUAUAAUGAUAGAUAAAGUUUAUUUAUUUGCAUGAGUUGUUUUGCAUAAACUCAAAAAUAAGUCAAUCCCAACAGACUGAGUAUCUUUUUCAAUUUCUCUUAUGUGUUGUUAAAUAGUGGUUAUAGCAGCUUAGCAAAAUUUGAACAAAUUGUUAUUGUUCUGCGAUAUGCUAUUUAUCACAAAAUGUUGUUAAAUAGCGGCUAUAGUGCUAUAGCACUAUUGCUAAACAUAAUUUGAAUGAACCGCUAUUUUUUGCAAUCUAUGAUUGAUAACAUUGAUUCUAUUUGUAUGGUAACUUCCACUUUUUACUAAUUUUCGGUGAAACUAUUGCAUUGUGGGUUGCAAUGUUUAGGCUGGAUUUGCUGGAGAUGAUGCUCCAAGGGCUGUGUUUCCUAGCAUUGUUGGUCGACCACGCCACACCGGUGUGAUGGUUGGCAUGGGACAAAAAGAUGCAUAUGUUGGGGAUGAAGCUCAGUCCAAGCGUGGUAUNNNNNNNNNNNNNNNNNNNNNNNNNNNNAUUGUGAAUAACUGGGAUGACAUGGAGAAGAUUUGGCAUCAUACCUUCUACAAUGAACUCCGUGUAGCCCCUGAGGAGCACCCGGUUUUGCUCACCGAAGCACCUCUCAACCCGAAGGCUAAUCGUGAGAAAAUGACACAAAUUAUGUUUGAGACAUUCAACACGCCUGCUAUGUAUGUUGCCAUCCAGGCCGUUCUAUCGCUCUAUGCCAGUGGCCGUACAACUGGUUAGUCAUUUUCCGGUUUAAGAAANNNNNNNNNNNNNNNNNNNNNNNNNNNNNNNNNNNNNNNNNNNNNNNNNNNNNNNNNNNNNNNNNNNNNNNNNNNNNNNUGGCUAUUUUAUGCUUAAAUUCUGAUUGAAAACUCUAUUAAUUUGUGCAGGUAUUGUUUUGGACUCUGGAGAUGGUGUCAGCCACACUGUGCCUAUUUAUGAAGGGUAUGCCCUUCCACAUGCUAUCCUUCGUCUUGAUUUAGCAGGACGCGAUCUCACUGAAGCCUUUAUGAAAAUCCUUACCGAGCGUGGUUAUUCCUUCACUACCACAGCCGAGCGUGAAAUUGUAAGAGAUAUGAAGGAAAAACUGGCUUAUAUUGCACUUGAUUAUGAGCAAGAGCUUGAAACUUCAAAAACAAGCUCUGCCGUUGAGAAGAGCUACGAGCUUCCUGAUGGACAGGUCAUCACCAUUGGUGCUGAGCGUUUCCGUUGUCCUGAGGUUCUUUUCCAGCCAUCCAUGAUUGGAAUGGAAGCUGUUGGCAUUCAUGAGACAACAUACAACUCGAUCAUGAAGUGCGAUGUUGAUAUCAGAAAGGACUUGUAUGGAAACAUAGUACUCAGUGGUGGUUCUACCAUGUUCCCUGGUAUUGCUGACAGAAUGAGCAAGGAAAUUACGGCGUUGGCCCCAAGCAGCAUGAAGAUCAAGGUGGUCGCUCCACCCGAGAGAAAAUACAGUGUCUGGAUCGGUGGCUCUAUCUUAGCUUCUCUUAGCACUUUUCAACAGGUAAAUUAAACCAUCUGUGCAGCACGCCGUACAACAUUUUUUUUAACAUGUUUGAUUUAUUUGGAAUACUAAUGAUGAGACACUUAUUUUUGGGAAUGUAGAUGUGGAUUGCGAAGGCCGAAUACGAUGAAUCUGGUCCUUCAAUUGUACACAGGAAAUGCUUUUAAAAUGGUGCAGAGAAUGUUUUGGUGUAGGUACGGUGUUCUUUUUUGGCAAUGCAAUAGCGCCUUGCAACCAUUGAUAAUUUUUGAAGUAUUUAUGUAAUGUUAGAACGGUGAAGCUUGAGUUACAAUGCAGUUAAUUCUUUCAUUUGUUUUGUUUUACCAAUUGGUAAUUGUUCAACAGGUGAUCUUUUGAUCUUUUAACUAUAAAUCAAAGACAUUUCAAUUUAUUUCUACUUGCUUCUCCAUCAACAUAUUAUUCUAAUUAAACUGAUCAUGUUGGAUCCUAUAAUUUUAUACAAAAAAAAAAAAGAAUAAGCAUGUAUAUAGUUAAAUCAGACCCUCCAUUUUUUGUCCAAUGUCCAUGUAUUAUAUGAAAUUCAUCUUCUUGUCAAACAGGUUGGUUAGUUGAUUUUUUGGUUGUUGAGUGGACAUUUUGAAUAUUUAGCACUUUUUUUUUUGUUUUUGCAAAAAUGGACUAUCUAGUAGACUGAUAUUAUAAUAAAACUUCCAUUCCGAUGAGGGAGCAACUCUUCCACGGUUACAAGACUUCGGGCACAAGUCUUAGGCACUCUCGCAUAAAAGCAAAAUUUAGAAUUAGUAUUUUGUGAGUGUGCUUAAAAAAAUUGAGCACGUCCUCUGUAACCCNNNNNNNNNNNNNNNNNNNNNNNNNNNNNNNNNNNNNNNNNNNNNNNNNNUACCCCUACCCAUGGCCCCUGUUCCAUAUUUGGUUUUGUACUUAUAUGAGAAUCAUCUGCCCAUGAGGUCCAUUGGCUUGUGCCUUGUAGUGAGGCUGUCUUUCAGAUUCCUACAUGUUAAAUUUCUAAGCUCAGGUUUACAAAAGCAAAAAGGGGAAUAAUACUAUAUUUUUGUAUGUCACUUCGCUCACCUAAUGAAUGUUGAAAAUUGAAAUUGGGGUUUUCUCUGGUGUUAGGUGACAAAACAUAUCCUUUAUUUUUUUGAGAGACCCAUAUCUCUUAUAAUGAAGCACAUCAAUUUAUAAAUAUAAAUAUUAUUACUAACGUUAAUGUGUAUUUAGCUAGAACUAAAGUUAACAUAACCAAAACUAACGAUGAAUUGAUUUCAUCGGUAAGAGUUUUGGUCGGCUUCAGCAGGUGGUCAGGGCUUCAAUCUUGUGUUUCUUAUAAGUUUUUUUACAAAAAUUAAUUAUCAUUAACGACGGUAGAAACUCAGUUCAUAUACAAUAACAAAAUAAAAAUAACAUUAUCAGCAAACAUGUCAUAUAUAAAUGGAUUUUUUUAUCUUUAUGGCGGAAAAGUCGUUGUAACUUUACUUUAGUGUGUAUUACAAAAAUCAAAGUAAAAGAAAAAUGAUAAAUAAAAUGAGAGAAUAAUAUAAGAGAGAUCGUUGUAACUUUUGUUGCUAUGAUGGAACCAUCCUCCAUCUUGUUCUCAACAUCAUCAAUCCAUAAUGACUAUCGAAAUAUCGGAUGAAAAACCAUCAUUUAUGAUAAAUGUCAAUCAUUCUGAUGUCAGUCGUUAAGCUACUCAACCGAGUUUAACAAAAACUAUCUUCUCCAUGUGGAUUCUGUGAAUAAGGUCGUUGGCUGGCGCGUAAACGUGGUGAUGUUUCACUUUUAACAGCAACAAAAAGUAGAAACUGAAGUAAUAGAUAACAGCACAAGUCCAAUGUAUGUAACUGUACUAUGUUGUAUCAUGUUCCACAUGGGAUUGGAUCCGCACGCCACCACCAUGACCAACAAAGUCAAUCCUCUCUCUCUAACUCUGUUCCUUUCCUCUUUCAAAGACAAAAACAAAAACCAAAACUAGUAGUAACACAACACAAUCCAAUUCAAUCAAUGUUUCAAUUUUUCCUAUCCACACCCCUUCUUUUUGUGGUACCCCACUUCUUCUUCCUCCUCCAAUAAUCUUUCAUCUUUCACUUCAUUUCAAUAACCAUCAUGAAGCUUUUGAACAACCCUUUUCCCUUUUCUUCUCAAUCUCAUAUUCAUUCACCCAUCAUGGAACAAUCUUCUCCUGUUACUAACCCUAAUCAAAUUCAUCUUGCUGUUGGUAAAUCCCUUCACAAAACCACUACCUUACUUCAAUGGACUUUCAAUCAAUUUAGGAACCAAGAAAUUGUCUUGAUUCAUCUUUAUAAACCUUCUCCUGUUAUACCCACUUUAUGUAAGUUCUUUUUUUUUCACUUUUUAAUGCUAAAUUUCAAUGCUUUAUGAUAAUCCCUUUUGUUUUAUCAUUCUGGGUCUUUCUUUUUUCUUUUUAAUAAUUUCUGCCUAAUUAGCUUAAUUUGUUUAAUUUUGUUGUUAAUUUGGUUAUUUAGUGGGGAAAAUGCCAGCUUCCCAAGCUAAUCCUGAAGUGGUAUCUGCUUUUAGAAGAGAGGAAAGAGAACAGACUGUGAGGUUUACUGAUAAGUAUUUGAGUAUUUGCUAUGCAGCUAAGGUAUGUACUAGUAUGUGUUUCUUUUGCAUUAUGAAUUUAAGAUAAAAAUUUAUGUGUUGGUAAUUAAUUAUCAUUGUGUUUUUUGACUCAAGCUUAUGUGGGAUUUUUAACUGAAUGUAUUUUUAUGAAAGUAUGAAACCUAUUAUUGAUUGUUUGUGUUGAUGUAAAUUUUGUUGUCAGGUGAAGGCAAGCGUUAUUGUAGCGGAAACUGACCAAAUCCAAAAAGGAAUUGUUGAUUUGGUUGUUAGUCAUAAUAUUAGGAAGCUUGUCAUUGGAGCGGAAACGGAAAAGUAAGUACUGCAUUGAGUGUAUGCUUAAUCGGUGUUUGUUUUUUGAACUGUCUUAGAUUUUAUGUUUUGCGAGUUAAUUGGGGCAUGGGAGUAUGUUUCUUCCAUACAUACUCCCUCUAUCCUAUUAUGUCCGUUUGUUCAUUGCAAAUUUGCAAUGUGCGCAUUACGAUAAUUGUCGAAUAAAAUGAGAUAGAGAGAGUAAUUGCCUUGUUAGUCAGCGUUGAACUUGGCUCAUUUGCUUCUUAGCUUCAUUCUAGUGGAUAGGUUCAUUUGCAGGGACAGAGCCACUUAUAGUCUCUUAGAGGGUCCUGCCUAUGCUGUUAGAGUACCCUAGUAUUUCACAUAAAUUUUUCUGAGUAACAAUAGUAUGAAAAUUCCACCAAAAGCUUAAAUUUUAUUGUUUUGGUCUCAAGUGUUUGAUGUCAAUAUUUGCUGUAAAGAAUGAAGAUUUUGACAUAACUAACCGGUUGUGUCUUCGUUUGAUAACAUGGAGCAUACAAUCUGCUUCAGUAUUUUCAUUCUUUGUCCCUUUUCUUUCAGAGAAGGGACGAUAAAUAUUUUUACUUACCAAAUCGUAAUGAAAAAUUGCAGUUUCAUGAAAGUGAAAAGGAGUUCCGGGAAAGCAAAUUACACUUUCAAACAUGCUCCCCCGUUCUGUGAAAUAUGGUUUAUAUAUAAAGGCAGACACAUUUGGACAAGAGAGGCUUCUGAAACACCGUGUUCUUUGUCUUCAGCUGCUCAAGCAGAGAUUGCAAGCACAGAAAGGACAAGAGAGGCUUCUUUUCAAUAUGGUAAGAACGAAUUACCCCAUUUGGAAGAUCUUCAACCAAAUUCUGCUAGAACUGCAGUAUGUUCUGAAAUUAGAAGCUUGGAUCUCGGUGAAAUCAUAGAAACCGAAGCCACUAAUUCAUCCAAAUCAUCCAGUUGCAGCAGUUAUUGUUCUCCACAAAAUUUGACUGCGGUUUAUCUAGAUGCAUAUUCAGAGGUCAUGGAANNNNNNNNNNNNNNNNNNNNNNNNNNNNNNNNNNNNNNNNNNNNNNNNNNNNNNNNNNNNNNNNNNNNNNNNNNNNNNNNNNNNNNNNNNNNNNNNNNNNNNNNNNNNNNNNNNNNNNNNNNNNNNNNNNNNNNNNNNNNNNNNNNNNNNNNNNNNNNNNNNNNNNNNNNNNNNNNNNNNNNNNNAAUCAUCCAGUUGCAGCAGUUAUUGUUCUCCACAAAAUUCGACUGCGGUUUAUCUAGAUGCAUAUUCAGAGGUCAUGGAAGAAAGAAUUAACAGUCAACUUAUUGAAACCCAAAGAGAAGCUGAGGCAGCAACAGAUGAAUCAUUUGCAGAACUAAUAAAGUGCAGGAGUUCGGAAGCUGAAGCCGCGGAAGCCAUGCAGAAAGUAAGCAUAAAUGUGUUGUUUGGAGAUUUCUUGGACAUAAUGUUAUAUGUUUUACCUGUAUAUAUCCAAAUUAAUACUAAAUGAUGAUAUCCAGUCUGUGUUAUGAUUGAUUUAUGAAUUGCUUGAAAGCUCUCUCAACCUAAUUAUAAAUUCUAUCUUCAGGUCAAAUUGUUUGAAUCUGCCCAUGCGCAUGAGGUGGAGCUCAGGAAAGAGGCUGAGGUUGCACUUAGAGAUACCGUACUAGAACAACAAAAGCUCUUAGAAGAGAGUGAACGUAUUUCGGGAGAGCUACAAAUGACCAUGAGAAAUGUGGCCCUACUAGAUAGCCGUGCUAAGGAAACAAUCCGUAGGCGAGAUGAAGCUGCACACGAGCUCUUGCUAAUUCAAACAUCCAUAUCAACCUUGUGGCAAGAAAGGCAGCAGAUCAGGAGACAGAAAAUGGAAGCCCUCCGCUGGCUUGAACGGUGGAAAAGUCGUGGACAAAUCGGAGCAGCUCAUUACAAUGGAGUCAUUGGGUUCGCUGAAGAACUGCCUGAGUUAGCAGAAUUCUCUUUAUCAGAUAUUGAAAAUGCUACAUGUAAUUUUUCCGAGAGCUUUAAAAUCGCGCAAGGUGGAUUUGGUUGUAUAUAUAAGGGGGAGAUGUUAGGUAGAACUGUUGCUAUAAAGAAGUUCCAUCAACAAAAUGUGCAAGGACCAGCAGAGUUUCAUCGAGAGGUCAGUUUUCACAUAAAUCUCUUUUUGUUUCUUUCUGCACAAUAACAAAUGGAAAUAUGUUCAAUUCUCAAGAAUGGUCGAAUUUCUCUCUUUUUUGUAUGUUUGUCUGAUUUAGAUGAUUUGAUCCUUUUGUGACCAGGUUCAAAUUCUUAGUAGUCUCCAACAUCCUCAUUUAUUGACAUUGCUUGGUGUUUGCCCUGAGGCCUGGUCAAUUGUAUAUGAGUACCUCCCAAAUGGAACUCUUCAAAACUACCUAUUCCGAAAAAGUAACAUUAUCCCUUUGACAUGGAAUAUCAGAACACGAAUGAUUGCCGAAAUUUCCAGUGCACUUUGUUUCUUACAUUCUUUUAAACCAGAAGCUAUUAUUCAUGGUGAUCUUAAGCCUGAGACUAUACUUCUCGAUUCUUCACUUAGUUGCAAGAUAUGCGAAUUCAGGUUCAGUAGGCUUGGGACGGAGGAGUCUCUCUAUAGUCCUAGUAGUAGUUUCCGCUUGAGCACUGAGCCAAAGGGUGCUUUCACAUAUACGGAUCCCGAGUUUCAGCGAACCGGAGUACUAACAACCAAGUCUGACAUCUACUCUUUUGGGCUUAUUAUUUUGCAACUCCUCACUGGUAGGACUCCAGUUGGAUUAGCAGUUCUAGUUCGCCAUGCAGUUUCAUUUGGAAAAUUGUCAUCAAUUCUUGAUUCUUCAGCUGGAGAAUGGCCUUUAUCUGUAGCAUCACGGUUGGUUGAACUCGGUUUGCAAUGUUGUGCGCAAAAUCGUAGAAGCAGACCAGAGUUAACACCUACUCUCGUGAGAGAAUUGGAACAGCUACAUGUUUCAGAAGAGAGACCCGUGCCAUCUUUUUUCUUAUGUCCAAUCCUUCAGGUAAUUGAUCUUUUUUUAACCAUUGAAAAAGCAUAACUAGAUUUUGUAUGCUAUGUGGCUCAUGUUUUAUGUUGGCUUCCUUCUUCAGGAAAUAAUGCACGAUCCUCAAAUCGCAGCAGAUGGAUUUACAUAUGAAGGAGAUGCCAUACGUGAAUGGUUGGAAAAUGGGCAUGAUACGUCUCCGAUGACUAAUUUAAAAUUGAAUCACUUGCUUCUCACUCCCAAUCACUCAAUUAGACUUGCCAUCCAAGAUUGGCUUUGCAAAUCAUAAAGGUACAUUAAUUCAUUUAGGCUAAAGAACUAUUUUUAUCCCCCUUAAGUUUAGGGUCCCCCGUUGUAAAUCUAUCCUGUAUCCAACAGAACUUUGUUAAAUUGAUUUGAUCCCAACCCUUUAGUUAGUCAACUUUAGCUGUCGCUUUGUCACAAAUUACCUGUGUUACACAUUUCAAGUACAUAAAAAAAUUGUAUUUUGGCCACAAUUUCCAGCCGAGAGAGCAAAGAGAAAACGAAGAAUGCCAAAGAUGUCAUAGUUCAUAGUCCUGUCAUCAUUUUUGUAAAAGUAGUCAUUUAUAUGGGUUGUUGACAAAAAAAUAGCCCUUUUUGUAUGUUAACCAAUAUAUGUAUAUGCUAUUGUUUUUCACUGUUCUUCUGUAAUACUUUCUAGCUUAUUCAUUUUCAAGUGUUCAAUGAUACAUGGUUGGUUGUAUUGCAUGAUUGGAAAUUCCUUUUAUACAAUAGAAUUUAUAGAAUCUUCUACGGACACCUUCUACAGAGACUAGCGUAGACUCUAGUGCUUCUAAUAACCUGCCAUUGUACAAAAUCAUAAGCAAUGGUUGGCUCGGCCUAGCUAAGAUCAGAGUCGUUUGAGCAAGAGGCAUCGUUUUCUUGAUUUUCAUUCUUGUUAAAAUCAGAGUUACAUAUGCCAAAUGUGGUUGACAGUGAUUUUUCCCUUGGAACGACUGGUAGUCGACAUUUGGGAGGAACUUCCAAAACCUUGAGUUCCAUUGGACAACCUCCAAGCGUGAUUUUGUUCUUCCUUAUGUAGAGUUCCUUCUUCCGGUAAUUUCAGUGUCUCGGUUAAACCUGCAUGCAAAUAGUGUAAUGAUCUCGUUACAGCAGGUGUAAUUUGCUUUGCAAGCAAUACUUUGCUAAGAUAUGUUGGAAGGAAUAAGGCGAUGAAAUUGUUGUAAUUAUUAGAUAUUUUAGAAAUAAUUUAUUAUUAGCAAACUACUUAAAAAAUAAUUUUUGUAAAGUAUGGUGAUUCGCAAAAAUCGUUUGUGACGAUCCUGAGGAAGUCAGAUUCAAGUGGGAGUGAUGGCCGCAGAUGAAUUGGAAGAUGCAAAUUGAAGAUUAGAUUAUCUGUAUCAGGGAAAGUUACAUCAAUUUCUCACAAAAGAAACCAAAUUCGAUGAAGGAAGAUGAGUGGAAAUUUCUCAAUAGACAAGCACUUGGUGUCAUCCGAUUGUUGUUACUUAUAUCGGAAUGUUGUUUUUAACAUUGUAGAGGAGAAAACCACCACUAGUCUCUUAUGAAUGCUAUUUUUAGCAUGUUCGAAAAGUCUUCGGUCUCAACUAAAGUUGAUGCAGUUGUUUACACUUCGGAUUAUAAAAGGUGUGUCGAUUGUUCAACCUACCAAUGAACUCAACUUUCCUUAAUAUGAAGUGGUAACAACUGCAUACUUUUCCUACAUGCUAGAAAGAGCAUUCAUAAUAGCUAUUGUGCUCAUGGGUUGCCUCUACUCAAAUUCAAAAAAUUCUCUUUCCACCCCUCACAUUUCUCUUUUCGCACAUAAAAUUUUGGAAAACGUUUUCCGAAUUUUUUUAUAGUGUGUAAAAUUUACACUAUAAAACAACUUCGGAACGUAUUUUUCAAAAUUUUUUGUGUGCUAGGGGGUGAAAAAGUAACAUGAGGGGUGGGUUGAGAAUUUUUCCUCAAAUUCAAGGUUGGAUCAUUCUAGUUUCAAGGGCAGUCUAUUAUCAUUUGGGAAUUACUUUUGUCGACCUACUGGUUACACACGCGCCCUAUGAUGUUUCCAUUUUACCCUUCCGCUAUUAAAUAGCGUACGUUAUAAAAAUGAAUUUUUGUUGAAAAAUAUCAUCCGCUACUUAAGUAGUUUAAGUAGCGGACGUUAUAAAGGUAUGGUGUUUUGAUGGGUGUCCGCUACUUAAGUAGCGGACGGGGGUAUAUUGGUAAACCUCUUAUCAUUUUGGCCUUUAAAAUUGGUUAAAUUCAAAGUUUAAAAUAGUUUACGUGUUUGAAAAUAUGUCUUUGCAUAGGAGGAGGAGGAAUGGUUCAUGUUUGAAAGUUCCACUAAGUUUUGAAAACUAGUAUAAAUUAAUAAAGGGUUUAGUCAACUUCAUCUGCGGGAAUAUUUGUGAAUUGUUAUUCAAGGAUUUCGGAUUAUCUCGUUUGGACAAGUUGCAUAAGUAAGUAGCAAAUCAUAUAAUUUCUAAGGAGGAGUGAGGUUGUUCAACCUCGAUGGAGUUGGUGGCGCAUCACAAUCAAGUGAUAGGGUGAUGAAAUUAAAGAUACAGUACAACACAACAUAGAACAUCACAUGACAAUCGUUUAAGGUACUGAAUAAACUUUGUGUUGUACGAUGUUUGAUAGUCAAAAGGUUAUUUUGAUAUUUUAGACAAGUUGUGUUGAGGACAAAAAGUUGUCAUGUGGCUCUGUGAGGAUAAAAAUUUCAGUUUUUGUCCUGUCCCUUGGCCCCCCAGUUUGUCCAGUACCAGAAACAGUUUUAAAAUCAAACACAGUACAACAGAAAUUAUGUUGUUCAGUCCUUUAUUUUUUAGCAGAUCAAACGCACCUUUAAAAAACAAAUCAACACUAAGAUAAUUUUUAAUGACAGUCCAUUUAGCUUACUAUUUUGGCUUAAUUACAAUUUUAAUUCUCUUAUUUUUUAUUUAUUCAUAAAAUUGGUCCUUCUUUCAUAAAAAAAAAAAAAAAAAUUGGUCCCUCUAUUUUCAAAUCAUCCAAAUUUAGUCCCUACAUUUAUUUAUUUUUCAAGUACAUUUAUUUCACAAAAACAAGUGAAUCCCUACUUUUUUUUUGCGACUAAAGAUUGAACUCGUAAUUACUAUAUAUGAUUUUUGAGUCAAAUAAAUUAUUAUGUACGAUUUUAUUUUUUUUGUCAAUAUUAUUAUAUACAAUUUACUCGAUUGAAAAACUACUUUUAUAUUCCACAAAUUUAAUCGAAUAAUAUUAAGGUCUCAAGUUCAAAACCAAACUUGUACUGACGAUAGCCUUAAAACUCUUAAUAAAGGUUUAGUUUUUUUUUUUUUAAUUUACAAUGGAACUGAGGAUCAAACCCAGGACCUCUAAUAUAUCAAUGAUAUCAUCCAAAUCCCUCACUAUUAGACUAAACUUAGUGGCUUAUAAAAAUUUACCUUUAUUUGAGGGGGUUCAGUUUUAUCCAUUUGCUACCCCAUCAUUUAUUAUUCAUUUAUAAAAGAGAUAGACAUAAACAUAAUAAGAAUAAUAAAAUCCACUAAUGAGGUCCACUUAUAGAAGUAAAUACAGCUGAUUUUUAUUUAUAUUUAUCUCUUUCCUAAAUUGACAACAAAUAGAAAAUAAAAAAUGAAUCAAACAUACGCUUUAUUUUAAGGAAGUGCAAUCAAGAUCCCCUCAAUUUGCAAAAUGAUUGGAGGGAGAGGAGUUUACAUCUCCACCAUUAAAAGAGUAUCUUUUUAUGUUUUUUAUUUUUUUGAAUUUUAAAUGAAAGGAUCUAAAUUUGACCGAUGGAAAUUUACAUAGGAGAUGAUCCACUCUCUAGUAAGUUUAGAUGUUGACUUUGAAUAUUGUAGUUUUUAUUGUUAGUCCUAGUCAAAGCAAGAUAGAAGACCAAGUUUGUUAUGGGUCUUGUAUAUCUACUAGCCCCUAGUUCAACAUAUUUAUCGUAUUUGCCAAUUUCACAUAUAUUAAAAAAUAUAUAAUUUUAUUAGUUUAUUCUUAUUAGUGUAUUUUUAUUACAAUAAAUACAAAGUAGGAUUUUUUUUAUAUAGAAAAUACAAUUAAAUAGAAAAUAAUUAAAAAUACAAUCUUAAAAAAAAAAACAAUAUUGUUUUUACAAAUAUGAAAAUUAUUAUACUUUAUACUCUCUUCGAUUACAAUUAUAAAUCAAAAGUUGAUUUUUUAUUUUCAUUGAAUAAUUAAUGUAUGUGAUCUAUACUAUAUAGACAAAAUACAUCAGUUAUUCGAUGAAUUUGAAAAAUAAAAUUUUGUAUAUAGUCUAGAAACAUAGAAGAUCAGAAAUAAGACUUUCUAAAUAACCACCUUUUUGCAAUGCAGCGCAGCCACAACAAUUUCAUUUAAUAUUAAUUUUAUUUUUCAUUAUUAUAGUAACAAAAUUAUUAUGCUUUGACUUGUACUUUACUUGUCUCUAAGGUUGUUGUGUUAGUUUUAUAGCGUUACCAGCCACCUUUGUCACAAAAUCAUCACCACCAUAACUCUCCAUAUCUCUCUGUCACAAAAAAUCUGCUUCAAUUCACUUUUGUUUUCAUCCGUUAAUUUAAGGUUAGUUUGUGUUUCAUUCAUUAAUAAUCAAAACUGUUUUUCAUAUGUUUUGUUUCUCUAUAUGUUGACCAGAUUCUAUGUGUUUGUUUUUCUGUUAAAUUUUCAAUUAUUAUGAAAAACGGUUUUAAUUCAUAGAGUUUGAUGAAACUGAAGGUUCCACUAUGUUCUUUCAAUCUUUUAAUUGUUAAUCUAAUAAUAACUCCAGUCUUUGUUCUCAAAAUUUCAUAUCCAAAUUAAAUUAUUUUUCUGUAUAUGUUAAUUUGGUAAUAAUUUCUACAAAAAUGCACGUAGAGUGUAAAAUUUUAUCAUCGAAUAGCAAUCGCUUAUUGGGUCAAAUCACUCCACUUUAAUUGCAUAACACGGAGAAAUGUUUAGUUUUCAGUGUAAAAUUAAUUUAUACUGAAAGAGCAUAUUCAAUAAACUCAUAAUUUUCGUUAAAAAAUCAUAUAAUAUAAAUAUGUAUUUAUGAACAUAUGAAUGAUAUAUAGUCUAUAUUGUCAUUUUUAUUUUUGUAACAUUAAUCAUGGUUUUGCAGGACAAGGUAUAGUAGCAGAAAUUGAUUAUCAAUUGAGUGGAUUGAAAUUUACAGAAAUUUUUGAUUAUUUGUUAUGGGAAAACACUUGAUUAAUUCAGAGGAAUCCACUCAAAUUCAAGAAGUUAAUCAAGGAUGCAUGUGGGGAAUGUUUAAUAUUCUUGAUUACCAUCAUUGGGGUGUCAAAAAGGUGUUUCAUCAUAAAAAGAAAAGACAUAACAGAUGUAAGCAAUUUCAUACCACAGCCUGUUUUUCCUUUUUAAUUUCUCUUUAUCACUUGAUUUUUUAUUUAUUUAUUAAGGAAUCAUUGCAAUUGAUUUAGAGUAAUAAUUAUCUUGAAAGGAAUCAUUAAAAGUGUCUUAAUGAUAAAACAGAAAUUAAGGGAGGCAAUUUAGUCCAUCUUAUCAAGAACUUUUGUGUCAAUAAUAUACAACUUAAUUGAAUGAUUCUCCCUAAUCCACAGGAUUUAAUUCAUAUGCACAGACGGUGUAAAAUUUGUUUACAUUGUUAAUCAAUCAUAACUGUUUGAUCAUUAGAAAGUUUGACUUUUAUCAUUUCUAACAUAAAUGUCUUGCAAAUGAUGACUUAUGAUUGGUUGACUGGUACUUCGUAUGUUGGACCAGUCCAUGGCUUUAAAUAGGCCCCUGUUAGUGGACAAUGAAAUUAGUGUUCCUCAGAUUAGUCGGUUAUUGAGCUAAAUACUGAAUCUUUAAAAAAAAAUGGUUUGAUUGUGUAAAAUUUUUUACACUUGUUGUGUAUCAAAAUUAUUCUCUACUUUGGAUGUAAUAAAACUACUAUGUCAUUAAUUAUAUAUAUAUUAUUACCCUAACUUGUAAAAAAAUUUAUUCUUAAUUGCAUAUUAUUUGUAUCAUGGCCACAUUUUACUUCUGUGAAAGACUUUAAAUGCUUAAUAGACUUUUUAAUCUAUAUGCAGAUAAGAGAAAGAUCACUCUGCAAGAGCAACAAAAUGUAGUUACAGAAGCAGAAUCACACUUGGUAUGUUUAAAAAAUUCAUGAUUUUGUUUUAUGGUCACAAUCAAAAUCAAAUAAACAAUGAUUAUGUAUAAUAAUAUUGUACAUUAUAUAAUAAUAUCUGUGUUUGAAUCUAAUAUAAAAUAAAAAUUUCAGGUCAGUCAACAUAGAGAAAUAUCAAGUGCUAAAGGUCAAACUAGUAGUGAGAAUGCACUUCAUCAGAAGAAAGAUGGAAAUACAACAGAAAGUUCCCUUAAGAGAGACAUUUCAAUUAAAUUUAAGAAUAAUGAUGAUGUUUUGGAGCUAAUUAGUGUGGAGAAGAAUUUGUUACUCAAAUUUCUAAAAGAUAUAGACUUUGGUGGUAAAAAAUAUCAUAAAGCUUCCCACAACAAAGCAACAUUGACAAAAUCGGGAUCAUUUCCUUUACCUGCGUCUUCUAAGACGAAAAAUAUUAGCUCUAGUACCUUCCGAGCCAAGCAAACUGAAAUUUGGGAUUUUCCUAAGGGAGAAAAGUUGCGUGUCGGCACUCAUGUACCGAAAAAGUUUGGAUCAAGUUCAGUGAAAGAUAUUUCGUAUGAAAUGCUGAAGCCUUCCGCGACUGAUAAUGGAAUUGAUAGUGUCGUUGCCGUGGAACAAAAGUCAAGCAUUUCUACGUGGUCUUCUGACGGAUUAAACCACAAAGGAUGGAAUCAAGUGGUUACUCAUCAGUUCAAAGUUAUAAAACAGAAGAUUAAACAUGCAAUUGUGGAAUUAAAGAAAAGUGGUCACAGUAAAACUUCACCUGAAUACAGCAACAUUGAUAAUGAGAAAGAAAUCUCGCAAAGCUUAGACGAUGGUGCAAUUCAUGAAUACAAAAAGAGUAGAAGCUUGGGUGAGACUAAAGCUUCUGAAUCUGGUUCCAACAAACACGAACCUCGCCUGAUGCGAAGAACGUCUUCUCUUAACGAAUCGAUGGAUAGAUAUACUCAAUUGUUUGAGAAAAGUUUAAGCAAAGAGGUCAAGUGGCAAAGCUCAAAGUCGAAGAGUUUAAGAUUGACAAAUGACGAUAAGACUCAAAAGAGUAAGCAUGCUCGUAUUUUCUCCAGAAGCAAUUUGUCUAUGCCUAAUCUCGAGGCAUUAGGAUUCAUUCUACAUGAAGCUCUUCUUGAAACAAAUGAUAUCGGAAAUAAUACAGUGGAAAGUGAUAAUGAUGUUCAAAGUAAAUCAGUGAGCCUUUCUUUAAAGAAUGAUAAAUCAACCGAUCAUUUUAAAGAGGCUGAAAUUGAUGAAACAGUUGAAGGAAGUGGACGAGAUGUGAAUCCUAGUCCUCGUUCUUUAUCGGAUAAGAUGGUGGAGGAAAUUGAUGAAGGAGUUACCUGUGAUCAAAGGGAGGACAUACACGAGCCAGCAUCGGAACAAGAAGGUAACAAAAUUUAUGUUAAUGUGCAUGAGACUAACAUAACAUAAUCGUUAGAUAUUAAAAUUGUUUGAUUUUAAUCGUAAUUACUUUAAAAGUCUCUGAUCAUAAGAUGAUUUGUGAUUGGUUGACAUGACAGUAACAGAUCGUUUACUAAUCGUUUUUUGGCUAUAUAUAUCAGGAAAAGAAUCGAAUACACGAGGCUCAAAUGCUAGUGUAACAGCCGCCGAAGACACAAACAAGAGUCUUGAAACUGAUAUCUUGCACUUCAAGUCAUAUUCAGAAACCGAUUCCAAUUUCAAAUAUGUGAAAGAUAUUCUUGAAUAUUCGGGUUUCACGAGAAAUGAGCAGGCUCAAAUGCGAUACACGGUAGACCAGCCAAUAAAACCAUCGUUAUUCACAGCUUUGGAAGAAUCUUUGCUUCAUGAAAAUGAGUAUUCCGGUGAAGAGAAUACCAACAUAUGUGAUCGCCAACUUCUUUUUAACUUGAUUAACGAGGUACUCUUUCAAAUGUACGAAAAGUCACCAACUUACUUUCCGAAACCCUUCGCCUUCAACUACAAACUCAAAUCAAUGCCUAAAGGGAACUAUCUUGUUAAUGAAGUAUGGAACAAUGUUAGUUCAUAUUUGAGUUUGAGACCAGAGUUAGAUGAGACAUUAGAUGAUGUUGUCGGUCGUGAUUUGACAAAGGGAACUGGUUGGAUGAAUCUUCAACAGGAAGAGGAAUGUGUAGCACUUGAACUGGAGGAUAUGAUCAUAGAUGAUUUAUUAGAUGAAAUUAUCUUCUCUUUUGUUUGAUGUUCAAUACUGAUUCAAGUGUGUUUCAGUUCAUUGAUGAUUUUUUGAUGCAGAAUAGAAUUCAUUGUAAAUAGGAUUGUCUUAGCAGAUGUUAUGUAGAGUUGCUUAAAGAGUUUUGGUGCAUAUUAAUUCUCAUGUAAAUAACAUACCUUCAAGAUUGUUUAUUAUUGAUUGAUGUUAAAGUAACAAUAAAGUCCAUUAUUAAUUUAAUUCUCAUGUAAAUAACAUACCUUCAAAAAAGACUGUGUAAACUUUUACACUGUAAUUCAAUAGCAAUCGUGUAUCCUCAAAAUCACUUAACUACACCCCACUUCAACCGUAUAACCUAGAGAAAUGUUUGAUUCUUAUUGGAUGUCGGUGUAAAAUUAAUUUACACUAACAAGCAUAUCUAUUAAACUCAUAAAAUGUGAACCACACAAAAUGUGUUACCCAACUUUGUCUUUAAAAUUCUAAGAUCAGACUCAUAGUCACUUAUUUAAAGUGUCAAAUUUAAUUGACUUUUAUAAUUGAAACCGAAAUAAUUUUUUAUUUUUUUUUGGGUUUUACCACCAAAAUACAGUCCACUUGGCUGUCUAAUCUGGUUUGGAGUCAGUUCUGACAUCAAGUGUGGUUCCAGCUCCAUUCCUAUCGCAAUUGCGGGGAUCGAAUAUUGGUCCUCCCUACCAAGUCAAACGUCAAUCAUCAUUGAACCAACUAACAAUUGGUUUAAACCAAAAUAAUAUAUUCAAUUAAAUCAACUCCGGUUAAAAUAAUAAUUGGAAUUAAUUAACCCAAACACAAUAGUAAAAAGUUAAACUCAAAUAAAUAAAAGUAUUUUUUUUUUGAGUCACUAAUUUGGUCUAAUGGUGAGGUAAAGUUUGUGGCUUCAUCUCAUGUACAUUUUAAACAAAACAAAAAAACAGAAGAUCAAUUUCGUUCCGUGGUGAUUGAUGCUGAAUUUGGUAGUGAGUAUCAUGAGUCGAUCCCCGCAAUUACGACCGGAAGGGGCUGAAACCAUUUGAUGUUAGAACUAACCCUCGAACCAUACUAGGCAGUCCAUCGGCCGAAUACUGGCGGUGAAAAAAAAAAUUCAAAAUAAAAAUAAAAAUUAUGGACAAUAAUUCCAAAAAGUAUAUAAAGACCAUGGAAAUUACCAAGCAACAAUAUACGGGUUGAAGUGACAAGCAUGAGCAUGCGAAGUGUAAUGAGCAUCGCAAUACAAGCGAAGUUCAUAGAGACAUUACGUCGAACACUUGGUAGCAUUCAGACCCAACUCAGUUUCAGAUUCUUUUGCACACAAACAACACACAACCAAGACAGCUUAUGCAAGAGAAUCGAAAAGCUUCCCAAAGGAGAAUCAAUAUCUUCCGCAUUCCGUAGUUGGAUGCGUGAUGGCUUCCCCGUUCGCGGCACCGAUGUCUUUCACACCAUUAACCGUCUCAGAAAGCUCAACUUCAACAAACGUGCACUUGAGGUAAUUUUCACACAUUUGUUCAUUCUUUUUUGUUUUCUUAAUCAAUUUUUUUCUGCUUCAAUGAAUAUAGAACUACCACUUUGGCCCUGUUUGGAUAAACAGAUUAUUUUUCAGCUCAUUAGCACUACUUAUCGUAUAAACGUUUAUGAAUGACCGGCAAGUUUGGAUUAACUUAUUUUUGAACUUAUGCCAAACAACUUACGCAAAUAAAUAAGUUUUUAUGUAUUAUUAUUAUUAUUAUAAGUUUUUCAAGGUAGUUUAUGAAAAAGCAGCUUAUAAAGAUACAAUUUUUGUUAGUGAAAACUUAUGAAUUAACAUAAAAGUUUAUUUGCAUAAGCUCUUUUCAUAAGCUCAAAAAUAAGUCAAAUCCAAAUGCAACACAUGAUAAAAUGUUGUUUUUUUAUAAGCUAUAAGCCGUUGUCAUAAGCUAUCUUGGAAAACUUAUGAAAAUAAGCUAAAAACAGCUUAUGAACAAUGUAAUAAGUUGUUUUUGUAAGUUUCACAAACGGUCUCACAAAACUUAUGCCAGUAGAUAAGCUCAAAUAAGCAAAUCCAGACUGCUUUUGUAUAAUCUAUAAGUUGUUUUCAUAAGCUACCUUGGAGAGCUUAUGCAAAUAAGCUAUGAACAUGUCAAAAUUUGUUUUUUGAGUUCUUCCAGGCAGUGUCUUUGUGUUUUGUAUAAAGCUCCAUUGUUUGAGACUUGAAUAUUUUGUCUUCUGACUUUUGGUAGGUGAUGGAAUGGGUGAUUAGGGAGAGACCCUAUAGACCUAGUGAACUAGAUUACUCUUAUCUAGUGGAAUUUACAAGUAGGCUUCAUGGAAUUCCACAUGGUGAAAAUCUCUUCAAACGUGUUCCUGUUGAAUUUCAGAAUGAGUUACUCUACAACAACCUGGUGAUUGCUUGUUUAGAUAAAGGUGUCAUUAGGCGUUCAUUUGAGUACAUGAAGAGAAUGAGAGAAUUGGGUUAUCCCAUUUCGCAUUUGGUCUUUAACCGCUUAAUAAUUUUGCAUUCAUCGCCGGGUCGCAGGAAGAUGAUACCCGGUUUACUCAACCAAAUGAAGGCUGAUAAGGUCACUUCGCAUGUUUCUACAUACAAUAUAUUGAUGAAAAUAGAGGCCAAUGAACAUAAUCUUGAAAAUUUGAUGAGGUUUUUUGAUAGAAUGAAACGGGUGCAGGUUGAACCGAAUGAAAUAUCUUACUGUAUUUUAGCUACUGCACAUGCAGUUGCUAGGUUGUAUGCUGCAACUGAAAUGUAUGUUGAGGCUGUGGAGAAAUCUAUGACGGGGAAUAAUUGGUCAACAUUGGAUGUCUUGCUUAUAUUGUAUGGGUAUUUGGGGAGCCAGAAAGAGCUUGAAAGGAUUUGGGAUAUCAUUAAAGGACUUCCUUUUGUUAGAUCUAAAAGUUAUAUGUUAGCCAUUGAAGCAUUUGGUAGGAUUGGAGAGUUAAACCGAGCUGAAGAGAUUUGGUCUGAGAUGGAGUCAUUAAAAGGAUUGAAAUCUGUAGAGCAAUUUAAUUCAAUGAUGACUGUGUAUUGCAAACAUGGAGUGAUUGACAAAGCAUCUAGGUUGUACAAAAAUAUGAAGACAAAGGGAUACAAACCGAAUGCCAUAACGUAUCGUCAUCUUACGUUGGGCUGCUUGAAAGCGGGUAAGGCAGAGCAAGCUUUGAAGACAUUAGACUUGGGCAUGCAUUUUCCGGUUAACAAGAGGGUUAGUAAUUCAACACCAUGGUUGGAGACCACUCUUUCAAUUGCUGAGAUUUUUGCUGAAAAAGGUGAUGUCGAAAAUGUUGAGAGAUUGUUUGAAGAAUUUCAUAAAGCUAAGUAUUGUAGGUAUACUUUUGUAUAUAAUACCUUGAUUAAGGCUUAUGUAAAAGCUAAGAUUUAUAAUCCAAAUCUUUUGAGAAGGAUGAUUCUUGGAGGAGCUAAUCCUGAUGCUGAAACUUACAGUCUUUUGAAAAUUGCUGAACAUUUUCGCACCUGAUAGUUUUAUUGAUAGUUUACAACCAGGUUAAUGUUAUAUCAUUAUAUGUAUUCUUAUGUUGUCAUUCUAUUUAAUAAAUAUGUAUCAAUUGUGGAACAAGAGUCAAUAAGAACAUCUGCCAUUGCAUAUGAAAGCUCCAUUUGUUUGCAUCAACAACUGAUAAUGUAAAGAUACUGUGGGUAUAACGUUGAUUUACAUUGAUCUCUCCAAAUUCAGCUACAUUGCUCCAUAAUAGAUUGCCAGUUUCAGUUGUUUGGAAAGGUGAGGAUUCCUUGUCUUUGGAGAUAACUGCUGGUGGCUUGGUUGGUGUGCGCUCUUUUAGGUAUGUGAUGAUGGAUCUUUUUUAAACUGUUUUGUUCUGAAUGUUUUUCAGUUUUAGUUUAUGGUCGGGUUUGAAAUUUACAUAUGAAUUUAACUGUUAUUGGUAAGAAAAUAUGCAUGAAAAUGGGAUGUUGUUGGCAAGAAAUGAAUGAUUUUGUGCUCUUGAGACAUUGUAUCGUAUUCAAGUGUUUCUGUCAUAAAUCAUUGUGUCUUCACUUCAAGGAAUCAAAAAGAGUCUUUUCUAUACACACAACAUCAAGGGAUUCAUAUAAACAAACUCCUUUAUUAGAUAGUUUAAUUGUCGAUGGUUUGGUUCUAUUUUUUUUAUUCAGUUUAAUAUUUUUUUGUGUAGUUAUUUUGAAUCUGUUCAGAUUGUGGAUGCAUACCUCUUGACUGAUUGCUACAUUUUCCUAUCUACACCUUUUUUUUACCAUUUUAUUUUUCAGUGGUGGAUUGAACUUCAUUUUUCAUCUAUUAGGAGGGAAAAUUCUACGGAGGAAGAUGAGUCUGUUGAAUCAAUGUCUCAAGUUAAUGACAAUGAAGAAGUAGAUUCAUUUCGUGUUUACUUUUAUCUAUGUACUCGUCAUUUAUAUUUUGUUUAUGGUUUCUUCUUUCAGAUUUUUGGGAGUGUGAAGAAACAGUAGAAAAGUGAUAUUAGGAGUUCCAAAGUUGAUCUUGGAACCAACAAGGAAUUGAAGAAGCAGAAUUUAGUAUAUUCAACCAGGGAACUGUGGCAGGAAAAAUGAAGAGAAAGAGGUAAAAUACAAUCUACUUUGGUUUGCUUAGUAUCUCAAAAAGUCAUGGCAUGUGUCAUCAGUUUUUGUUGAAUAUAAUGUUUCAUGUUAGCCAUCAAGAAAUUAUAAAUUGUCACAUCUUUAUAAUAUUCCUGUAUUUUUUACAGUUUAUACCAUUUACUGAAUUGGUUAGAAAUAUUUCACUAUCAAAGCAAACACCAGUGAUCCAAGUGAAGGCGAACACCUUUAUUGGAGAGUUAUAAAUGGACCUUUUAUUAGUGUCUGGCUUCACAAUGUACCUUGGGGUGCUGAAAACACAAUGGCAAUACCUGCUGCAAAGGUUUUUUUUGUGUGUGAACAAGAACUCAAGCAUAUCAUUUUGUGUGAAAUUGAAAACCAUUCAGUUUGAUGAAGUUUGCUAAAUUAUGUAUUUUGCAAUAAUUUUAUAUACACACUUUUUGCCUCUAAUAUAAUACUUUUGGCUUAAUAAUAAUAUCAUUCACAUUGCAUGGCUUCAAACAAUGUUAAUUGUUUAUUUAAUACUAGUAUUUAUUUAGUUAAUUAUUUAAUAUGUCGGUAAAGUUUCCCCAUUUGUGAAUUCAGAGUCCAACAAAAGAGUCCAACCAGAGUGACCUUUAGAGGAUAUGUAUAUGUUCUAUAGAGAUACAUAUACUUGGACUCCAGUUCAGGGAAUAUUAUUUGUGUACCCUACAAGGGCCUACCCUUUCUUUCUCUUGGAAAAUGCUUGGCUUGAUUAUAAGCCACAUGAACAGUUGUGUAGAUAACUAUGUAAGGAUAGACCUUGGGACAGUAGACAACACGGACAAUGUUUACUAAACAAGGGGAGAAGAUCCUCUCCCAUGAAAACUUUCUCAAGUGAAAUCAAGGCCCUUCAUUAGAAUGUGAAAAUAAUAUAAAACAUGGAGAGAUAAUGUUUCAAGGGUGUGAAUGUUCACUGCUCCCCCUUCCGGUGAAUACCACACUUGAGAGGAUCCCUUUCCCAAAACAAGAUGUGGUAACACUUGAGACUGCUGCUAGUCCUCUAAAUUUUAUGUUUCAAUACAAUUCAUAUAGCUUGUUAAGGAAAUUUAUACCCUAUAUAAUUGAUACAGGUCAUAUCAUACAAAUAGGAAUUUAUACCCUAUAUAUGUUUUGUAGUUAUUGUCUUGACUAUUGAGAUAAUAAUAAUAGACUACUCCUUGU
Molecule: long non-coding RNA, 31012 nt
Filed under: Trifolium pratense (red clover)
Lineage: Eukaryota; Viridiplantae; Streptophyta; Magnoliopsida; Fabales; Fabaceae
Description: long non-coding RNA (TPRA_LNC003205)
Source: RNAcentral